AUGAUAAUAACUCAACAUUCACAAACGGAAUGGCAUCCGACACAAUUAAUUCAGCAUAAUCCAACACUACUACAGAAUCAAACACAAUUAUAUAAACAAAUCAGCAACUCAAUUGAACAAAAUCGAGAAAAAAUAAUUACCGGGAUGUCUAAUUCAUCAGAAGAAAUGAAGUUGUUGUUUGUUGUUGAACGGCGACGGAAGUUAGCAAGCAAGUUGUUGUUGAAACUGUUGUAUCUGGAGCAGUGGAAAUUUUACAGGGGUACUAACGACGCUGGAAUUGGGUAG
Non-coding RNA from Vicia faba (fava bean), 285 nucleotides. The record is from the annotation of a GenBank genome assembly. Lineage: Eukaryota; Viridiplantae; Streptophyta; Magnoliopsida; Fabales; Fabaceae.